This 3233-nucleotide long non-coding RNA is filed under the name Sus scrofa (pig). RNAcentral describes it as "lncRNA (ENSSSCG00000060518.1)". Lineage: Eukaryota; Metazoa; Chordata; Mammalia; Artiodactyla; Suidae. The record is from RNAcentral.
UUUUUUUUUUUUUUUUUUUUUAUCUUGGCCAAGAGCAUGAAGUACAUCAGGCUAUUUAUUGCAGCAAGAGAAGGAAGCCAAGAUCCAUUCAUGUACCACACUCACAUCUGUGCUCCUCCUGGAGGCCCACACCCCAUAAAGUAUCUGCUGUCUUUGCAGACUCAUUUGGACUGGAUCAGUAUUUCACUCUACUGCUGCUAAUAUGGGUUCCCUAGCACUGCCCACCACAUCAAUACACACAUACUACCUGCUCCACGAGGCAUAUUUCAAAGACACUUUUCUGGAAAGAAUGAAAACAAAUUUUCAAUGCAGUGAUAGUCAGAUACAGACAAAACUAUAGAUACUCACAGCCUUUCCCCCUCCCCCUAGGCAUCAAAGGAGAAUUUAUUUGCUGUCAGGGAUCAGAUCGCAGGCCUCAGUUUGUACAGGAAAGGGUAAUAGACAAGUGGUGGAUUGGAUUAUUCUCAGGGUAUGUACACAGAAUUUUAACUUAUACAAAGCUACUUAAAGAUAAAAACACUAAAAAAAUCUCAAAAUUGGGGAUGGGGUUAAGAGAGUAGAGAAGAAAGGAAAUGCAGAGGGGCUGGAGUUUGAAGGGGAAGACUGGGAUGGAGAUUAGAACAGUGGAAAUAUUGUGUGAGGCACUGAAAGAGAUGAGUAGAGGCAUUUUAAUAUGCACCCUGUGACAGUUACACUCCUUGGCCACCUCUUCAAAAGCCCUGACUGAACACACACUACUUUGAAGACUUUCUGUGUUAGACGUUUAUUUCCUCUGAAUGUAUGUAAAGUUAUUUGAGGAUGGACCUUAAUAUGGAAACAAAAACCUAGUUCUAUUCUGCUUAUACAUUUUUAACAACAACAAAAUACUAAAGUGCAUUUAAUGAAAAAUGAAGUAUUGUCUAAGCCCUUUUCUCUCCCCUAUAGAUCCAGGAAUGAAUUUCUUGCUUUGCUUCUCUAUAAUGAAAAAAAUUAUUUCAUAUAUUUCAUAAUAAAAAAUAUUAUGCUCAUAUUUUUCCUUCCUGUCUGUGACUAAUGGAAUCUUCCAUUACCACAUCAUCUUAAUAACAAUGAUCAAGCUGAUUAUAAGCCAGUUAAUUAUUAAUCAGAACAUGACCAUGCUUCCAAUUAUGAUAGCUGAAGUGUCACUCCGUUUUCAGUUCUGUGGUAUGCAGUCUUUCUAUUUCCUUUGUAAAUCUAGAUUUUUAAAAUAAAGACUUUUCUCAGAAAUUUACCACUGUGCAUUCAUGUACAUGCACUUAAGACUGUAUAUAUUUCUUAACCCAAAAUGUUCACAUUUAUUUUAUUUUUUGUCAAAAGUACUAUACUGUGAUUUUUCUGAAAUUAUAGUCUAGUAUGAGAUUUGUUUGUAUUGUUGUUUUACUGAAGUUAAUAAAAUAAAAGUCCUUAUUUCCCAAACCAGAGGUUAAUUAUAGGCCCAUACACAGCCAUAUUUACUGAUGUAACAUUUAAAUCAAUCUCAUAUUCCUCAAACUUUCACCAUUCUAGUAGAAUAUGUGCUAAUGUUAAAUUUCACUAUUUUAAUGGAAAUUAAAAACACUAAAUGGACAAUAUAUACAAAACAUAUCUUGCUAUGAACUUGCACUUGAAUUACUCAUGUGAGCUUAGGGUCAUAAUUUAUAAACCACUGAUUUCUACAGUUAGAUUAAUUUAUGAACAAUUAUUAUACUCACAAGUUGCAUUCAUAUAAAUGGUAAUGAUCUUACUGGAAUUAUAUGGAAACAUGAACCAUCACUUAUGUACAAAAGAAAGCUUGGGGAUAUGUAGAAUCCCUUAAUGAGAAAUAAAAUAAGCACUCUGGAACUGGUACAUAUGGCAUUAUUAUUAAUGAGAGGAGAUAAAACAGUAUAGAGAUGUUAAUAGAAAUAUUAAUAGAGAGACUGGAAACUCAGAAUACAUACUGUAAAUAGGAUGUUACAGGAAAGUCAAUAAUACUAGACAGUAAGAAGCUUAUAAUGCUUUUAAUGAGAAUGUGGAAAGUGUGUGUGAAUUCCACAUAAUUCUGAACGGGCGGAAAAGCGGCUGUAGAAAUUUUUAGAGUAGAAAAUCUGAUCAUUCAUACCCAUAAAUGACUAAACAAAAUUAUUUAUCAUAUCCUGUGGAUAUUUAGCUCUGUGAAUUAACCUGAAAUAAGUCAUAGUAUUCAUUUUAAAUUUGUUUUCAUUCUGGUAAUGGACACUAAGGAAGCAACCUCUUACCAGGGGCAUCAUAGAACAUAACAGAGAAACAAUGAAGUAAAUUUCUCUACUAAACAGUAUUUCAGGCCUUCUGUAAAAUAACAGUCUACACUAGAUCUAUGAUAAUUACAUACAAGAAAAUCUAUGAAAAAUUCAUUAAUAGGGACUAUUAUCCUAAUAGAAUCCUACCAGUUUUUCUAGUAUUAUGUAUUCAAACUGUUAAAUGGCUACAUUUCUCAUAUAAUUAAAAUGACCAUCAUUAAGUGUCAUGUCUCUGAAAUAAAGAGAAAGAAACAAAGGGAGGAAAGGAGGAAGGAAGGAAAGGAGGGAGGGAUGAAGGAAGGGAGGAACAAAAGAAGAGAGAGGUGGGGACAAAUGGAGGGGCCAUUUCUCUAAAAUGCUACCUUAAAUGAUAGCAGUUCUAGUCCCGUAUUUCUUCAUUUUAAGGAUCUAUGGACUUGUAUAAGCAACAUCUGUCAUACCCAUGUUUGUUUUGUUUGAGUGUGUCUGUGUGUGUGUGUGUCUGGCAAACUGUACAAACUGCACAUAUCUGAUUUGCAUAAAGUUAUUUGCUAAUUAAACACUGCAUUAUAAAUGUACUUGUAAAGAAAAGUACUUGGAAGAGGGCAGAUAUUUUCCCCAACCCAAUCUAAUGGUAUAGUUCACUUUUAUAGAGAAAACCUAAAUAAGGAUGAAAGUGAAAAGAUUCAGUACCCAGAAAAUAGGAGGUAGCUGUGGUGAUGGGGAUGGGGAGGGAGGUAAGUUUAUUUAAGUGGAGUUAAAAGUCAUGAAAGACUAUUUUUAAAAAGUCACUGAGAGUGUUUCCUUUGUGGCUCAGGGGGUUAGGACCCGACUAGUAUCUAUGAGGACUCAGGUUCGAUCCCUGGCCUCACUCAGUGAGUUAAGGAUUAGGUGUUGCCAUGAACUGUGUUAUAGGUCACAGAUAGGAUCCCGCACUGCUGUGGCUGUGGCAUAGGCUGGCAGCUGCAGCUCCAAUUAGACCCUAUCCUGGGAACUUCUAUAUGCUACAGGUGCAGC